This 799-nucleotide ribosomal RNA is filed under the name uncultured crenarchaeote. Its description in RNAcentral is "bacterial SSU rRNA". It matches the Rfam family "Archaeal small subunit ribosomal RNA", at positions 52 to 859 of the family's 1478-position model. The record is from RNAcentral. Lineage: Archaea; Thermoproteati; Thermoproteota.
UGCGAGUCAACGUAGCAAUACGUGGCAUACGGCUCAGUAACACGUAGUCAACAUGCCCAGGGGACGUGGAUAACCUCGGGAAACUGAGGAUAAACCGCGAUAGGUCAUAAUGUCUGGAAUGAUUUAUGGCUAAAAUCUACAUGGCCCCUGGAUUGGACUGCGGCCGAUCAGGCUGUUGGUGAGGUAAUGGCCCACCAAACCUAAAACCGGUACGGGCUCUGAGAGGAGAAGCCCGGAGAUGGGCACUGAGACAAGGGCCCAGGCCCUAUGGGGCGCAGCAGGCGCGAAAACUCUGCAAUAAGCGAAAGCUUGACAGGGUUAUUCUGAGUGAUUUCCGCUAAGGAGAUCUUUUGGCACCUCUAAAAAUGGUGCAGAAUAAGGGGUGGGCAAGCCUGGUGUCAGCCGCCGCGGUAAUACCAGCACCCCGAGUGGUCGGGACGAUUAUUGGGCCUAAAGCAUCCGUAGCCGGUUCUACAAGUCUUCCGUUAAAUCCACCUGCUUAACAGUUGGGCUGCAGAGGAUACUAUAGAGCUAGGAGGCGGGAGAGGCAAGCGGUACUUAGUGGGUAGGGGUAAAAUCCGUUGAUCCACUGAAGACCACCAGUGGCGAAGGCGGCUUGCCAGAACGCGCUCGACGGUGAGGGAUGAAAGCUGGGGGAGCAAACCGGAUUAGAUACCCGGGUAGUCCCAGCUGUAAACGAUGCAGACUCGGUGAUGAAUAGGCUUCGUGCCUAUUCAGUGCCGCAGGGAAGCCGUUAAGUCUGCCGCCUGGGGAGUACGGUCGCAAGACUGAAACUUAA